GACGAACGCUGGCGGCGUGCUUAACACAUGCAAGUCGAACGGAAAGGCCCUGCUUUUGUGGGGUGCUCGAGUGGCGAACGGGUGAGUAACACGUGAGUAACCUGCCCUUGACUUUGGGAUAACUUCAGGAAACUGGGGCUAAUACCGGAUAGGAGCUCCUGCUGCAUGGUGGGGGUUGGAAAGUUUCGGCGGUUGGGGAUGGACUCGCGGCUUAUCAGCUUGUUGGUGGGGUAGUGGCUUACCAAGGCUUUGACGGGUAGCCGGCCUGAGAGGGUGACCGGCCCAAUGGGGAGGGAGAGACGGCCCAGACCCCUACGGGGGGAAGCAGGGGGGAAUAUUGCCAGAGGGGGGGGAGCCUAAGGGCGCAACGCCGCGGGGGGGAGGAGGGCCUUCGGGUUGUAAACCUCUUUCCCCUGUAACGAAGCGGGAGGAACGGAAAUGGUAAAAGAACCACCGGCUAACUACGG
RNAcentral lists this ribosomal RNA (467 nucleotides) under uncultured bacterium. Its description in RNAcentral is "partial 16S ribosomal RNA". It matches the Rfam family "Bacterial small subunit ribosomal RNA", at positions 28 to 506 of the family's 1533-position model. The record is from RNAcentral.